GACGAACGCUGGCGGCGUGCUUAACACAUGCAAGUCGAGCGGUAAGGCCCUUUCGGGGGUACACGAGCGGCGAACGGGUGAGUAACACGUGGGUGACCUGCCUUUAGCUCUGGGAUAAGCCUGGGAAACUGGGUCUAAUACCGGAUAUGACUCCGCGGUGCAUGCUGUGGGGUGGAAAGCCUUGUGCGGCUGGAGAUGGGCCCGCGGCCUAUCAGCUUGUUGGUGGGGUGAUGGCCUACCAAGGCGACGACGGGUAGCCGGCCUGAGAGGGCGACCGGCCACACUGGGACUGAGACACGGCCCAGACUCCUACGGGAGGCAGGCAGUGGGGAAUCUUGCGCAAUGGGCGAAAGCCUG
This 357-nucleotide ribosomal RNA is filed under the name uncultured bacterium. RNAcentral's name for it is "bacterial SSU rRNA". It matches the Rfam family "Bacterial small subunit ribosomal RNA", at positions 28 to 385 of the family's 1533-position model. The record is from RNAcentral.